Molecule: ribosomal RNA, 497 nt
Filed under: uncultured bacterium
Lineage: Bacteria
Description: partial 16S ribosomal RNA
Rfam family: Bacterial small subunit ribosomal RNA
Source: RNAcentral
GAUGAACGCUGGCGGCGUGCCUAAUACAUGCAAGUCGAGCGAACGGACGAGAAGCUUGCUUUUCUGAUGUUAGCGGCGGACGGGUGAGUAACACGUGGAUAACCUACCUAUAAGACUGGGAUAACUUCGGGAAACCGGAGCUAAUACCGGAUAAUAUUUUGAACCGCAUGGUUCAAAAGUGAAAGACGGUCUUGCUGUCACUUAUAGAUGGAUCCGCGCUGCAUUAGCUAGUUGGUAAGGUAACGGCUUACCAAGGCAACGAUGCAUGGCCGACCUGAGAGGGGGAUCGGCCACACUGGAACUGAGACACGGUCCAGACUCCUACGGGAGGCAGCAGUAGGGAAUCUUCCGCAAUGGGCGAAAGCCUGACGGAGCAACGCCGCGUGAGUGAUGAAGGUCUUCGGAUCGUAAAACUCUGUUAUUAGGGAAGAACAUAUGUGUAAGUAACUGUGCACAUCUUGACGGUACCUAAUCAGAAAGCCACGGCUAACUACGUG